CAGAGUGAGACUCCACCUCAAAAAAAAGAAAAAAGGAAAACCAAGCAAAAGUCACUGUCAGGGGACCUCCCACCCACCAUACAGGGGAACACUCGGCAGAGCCAGAGGCCUGGGCCCAAGUCCUGCCACCAGCUGGCUGUGAAACUGUGGUACAGCACCUUGUGUCCUGCCACCAGCCGGCUGUGAAACUGGUACAGCACCUUGUCCUCAGGUCCUUGGUUUCCUCACUUGUAAAUUCAUGGUUCUCCAUGGCAUCUCUGGUCUUCAACAUUAUUUUGCAUAGAGUCUCAGAAGCUUUAGUGUGAGCGGAUGAUAUGGGCACGAAGCAAGGCACCCAGAAGUGGGGGCAACUACUCUGCUUUCUAAAAUGCAAGGGAACCGGAAAAUCCAGGAGCCGUGCCAAAUGAGAAGAGGAACAAAUGGAGGAACAUCCCAGUCAAGUGACAUUCCUAGUGACAUUCACCAGAACAGAGUCAAGCUUUGGAUCCCAUGUUCUGUGACUUCCUCUUCACCACGCUUCCUCCACACACGUAGCAGCUCAAGGGUUUCUGAUGAGUGGGAGGCUUGACUAGAAUUGAAUUCGAGACAAGCACAAAGAUCAUGAUGCAAAUGAAAGGGACAGAGGGGAGAGAAACAGAAAACAAGUCUAUGUUCCCUUUAUGAGCUGUAACGCACACCAUGAAGGUCUGCGGCUUGGCUAUUGAGUCAGUGAGAGCGUGAACCUACUAUUAGAAGAAAAACUCUGAAUACGUCUGAACGUCAGAAAGAACGAAGUUUGGACACAUUGUCUUUAAGAACUGUAACACUCACCCCAAGGGUUUAUGGAUUCAUUCUUGAAAUCAGUGAAACCAAAAGCUUUCCAAAGUUUAACACACAGGGAAAUGACUUACUGCAAAGAACCACUCUUCCCCACGAGACUUCGAGAAGACCCGCUGUCACGGACUGAGUUGUGUCCUCUUAAAAUUCAGAUGUUGGAGUCCAAACCCCCAGUAACUCAGAGUGUGAACGUAUUUGAAGAGGUCUUUAAAGAGGUGAUGAAGGGAGAGAGACCCCAUGAGCUCGUCAAGCUCCUUCUGUGACUGAUCAGAGAUCCCACCGUGAGUCCAGCUCCUGGUCCCAUGCUCUGGAUAUAUCGGUCCCUGGCAGCGUGAGUGCCUCUGUGUUCACUGUCCCAUUUGAGAAUUCUAAGUAGAAUUCUGAACAGGCUGGAGCAGAUUGCCCACCCCAAGGGACAGAUGUUGGCUGGUACUGUUGGUAUUCAUGGAAGAUUCCUUCUGACACUCCCUCCUUCUUUGUAAUUGCCAUGAACUGGAGCACUGGGCCAAUAUAAAUCAUCCAAGGGUGAACACGCUGCACAUGGACGGCUCCUCUUUGUUUUUGAAGGGAUUCCAUCUCUAUUUUGCCAUGUGCUCCUUCACCCCACUCCCCACCCCCGUCUUUCAUUUCUUUCUCUGGAAAAGAUACUUCAACUCACAGGACUGCGAUGUUGAAACGGACACCCAAGAGCAUCACAGAUGGGCCAGGCCUGGACCUCUCGGGACAACAUUCCUCACGACUUUUAGAUAGAAGAGAUUAGAGAUUUGGGACUGGUGGCAACUGGUAACGUUUUCAGUGUUUGGUAAACAGCCAGGGUCCGGAGCUCUGGGAACAGCCUGAUUUAGCUCUUUGUUUAAGUUUUGUGUUAGAGGCUCCCAAGAAGCUGAUGCAGGGGAAAGAAAUUAACAACCAUGGCUCAUUCACAGCCAGGCAGCCAAAUGGACAGCUCUAUAAGACUCAAGCCGACAGCGGAGAGAGUGCAACCAAACAGCCUUGGCCCAGCUUUCAGAGGAGAACGUUAUUCACCCCAACUGCUCUGCAUCUGCCUGGAUGUCUGCCAAGAUCUGUGAGCAUUACAGCGUUGGUAUGCUUUGGGUGAGGCCUGUGGCUAUGGCAACAAGUUGGGAGCAACCCGGUCCCUGGGAAUGAGAACAGUGUCUAAAAUCAGGCAGGCGAGGGGCAGGGAGGAGAGGUAAAGGUUGGACUUGCCUGAAGAUGGAGCCGUUUUAUUGUUGUGGGUAAAGCUGCUACCAUUAGGGGCUGUUUACAGAGUGGGUGCAGCUCAAGCUGGGAGCAUGUUAGACUCAGCGACUACGAUCAACCUAUUGACUUGUUCCCAUGAGACAGAGUAAAUUAACUGUUGCAGUACUGGUCAUGUACCACCAACCUCCUGUGAACCAGCCCUCAGUGAAACAUUUAUGUGAAAGGCCAUGGUGUUCCCAUAAGAGGGUGCAUGUUCUCUCCCUUGACUAACUCUUCAGUAUGCCUCAUUCUCACGCGCUGGUGUGCAGGAAGGAGUCCAACAUGCCCCAUUGACAGUCAUGCCCUGUAUGUGGAAAGUCUUCAGGUAGAGCACUGGGCUCAGGUUUGAAGAUGUGAGUUCUAAUCCUAGCAAGGCCAUUACCUCCCAGUGACCUCAUGUCUCGAUUUCCUCAACCACAAAACAAAGGCAUUGGUGAGCUGACCUCUAAGGCCUCUCCAGUUCUCACCUUCUGUGUCUCUACAGACUGGAGACUAGAAGAUUAUGGGCACUUUUAUUGAGUCUUCAUUUUGUUUCCAUUUCUUUGUAGUCAUCAGCUGGAGUUGAGGACAAGUUUUAACAAUAGAUAGGUUUCUUUUUGUCUCUUUUUAAAAAAUUUUAUUUAAAAUAAAUGCCAAGUGUAGUGGCUCAUACCUGUAAUCCCAGCACUUUGGGGAGGCCAAGGUGGGAGGAUUGCUUUUGAGUUUGAGACCAGCCUGGGCAACGUGGUGAGACCCUGUUUGUACAAAAAAUUUUAAAUUAGCCAGGCAUGGUGGCGUGUGCCUAUAGUCCUAGCUACUCUGGAGGUAGAGGCAGGAGGAUCCCUUGAACCUGGGAGGUUGAGGCCACAGUGAGCUGUGAUUGUGCUAUUGAACUCUAGCCUGGGCAACAGAGCAAGACCCUGUCUCUUAAAAAAGACUAUUUUUUAAGAACACUUUUAGGUUCACAGCGAAAUUUGGAGGAAACUUGGCAUAUGUCAUAUGCCCCCUGCUCCCAUGCAUGCACAGCCUCUACCAUUAGCAAUGUCCCCACUCAAAUGGUACCUUUGUUGUAAUCAACAACCCUGUACUGACACAUCAUCAUCACCCAAACUCCAUAGUUCACAUUAGGUUUCACUCUUGGUGUGGUGUACAUUCCAUGGGCUUGAACAACUGUAUAAUGACAUUAUCCACCACUGCAGGAUCAUACAGAGUAGUCUCACUGCCCUAAAACUACUCUGUGCUCCACCUGUUUGUCCCUUCUUUCACUCUAAACUCCUGGCAACAACUGACCUUUUUACUGCCUCGAUAGCUUUGCCUUCUUCGGAAUGUCAUGUAGUUGAAAUCAUACAUCAUGAAGCCUUUUCAGAUUGGCUUCAUAUAGGUUUCCUUCCUUCCUUCCUCCCACCACCUUCCUUUCUUUCUGUAUUCCUAACUCUUGGAUGUAUUUUCCCCAGCAUCAUGACUUGAUGGGACUUUUGCUAAGAUAGGCAAUCAUAGAAAGUCAUAAAUCUCUUGUCAGCCUUAUUGGCUCACCUCCGAGAUGGUUCCAACACUCUUUAAGGCCCACUUUUCCAAUCCACAGAUUCCCCAGCAGAAGUCCAAGCUGCUGAGCCUCACAUCAUCUUUUGCACUAGUAAUCUUUACCACUACUUCACUGUAGCAUUUGAAAAUUUUCAUAUGAAGCCAUAGUUCUGUGUCUUUUUUUUUUUUUUUUUUUUUUUGGAGACGGAGUCUUAACCUGUUGCCCAGGCUGGAGUGCAGUGGCACAGUCUUAGCUCACUGCAAGCUCCGCCUCACGGGUUCAAGUGAUUCUUGCCUCAGCCUCCCAAGUAGCUGGGAUUACAGGCGCGCCACCAUGCCCAGCUAAAUUUGUUGGCAUUUUUAGUAGAGAUGGGGUUUCACCAUGUUGGCCAGGCUGGUCUCAAACUCCUUACCUCAGGUGAUCUGCCUGCCUCAGCCUCCCAAAGUGCUGGGAUUAAAGGUGUGAGCCACCGCACCUGGCCUGAAGCCAUAGUUCUUAACCUCAGUUGUGCAAUAGAAUUAUCUGGGGAAUUUAAAAAUUAGAAAAAACCCAUGCCCUGAAGAUUGUGAUCUAACUGGUCUUGCGUAGCGCCUGGGCAUUGGUAUUUUUUAAAUGUUUCCCAACUGAUACUAAUGUGGCCAUUCUGCAAGCCACAGUUGAAAGGCUUAUUCAAGCAUCCUGUUGCUGAAUGCAUGUCGUCCUUACCACAUGACUCUGGAGGUUUUCUUGUAUUCUGAUGUGGCUGCCCUGUUGAGGCCUGCCCCUUAGAGUGGAGAUUAUCCCCUGCAGUAGGCUGCCUGGAAUAUGAUCCCCAGUGAUCCCUGCUUCCUGGUAUUCAGGCCCUGGUGUGAUCCCUUUCCCUUGAAGCCUGGGCUGGAUUAGUGACUUGCUUCUAACCAACAGCAUAUGGCAAAAAUAAAUGUUUAUUGUUUUAAACCUCUGUUUUA
Molecule: long non-coding RNA, 4506 nt
Filed under: Homo sapiens (human)
Lineage: Eukaryota; Metazoa; Chordata; Mammalia; Primates; Hominidae
Description: lncAB477.2
Source: RNAcentral